AAUUAUUUGUAUUUGAUUACAUACUAAAAUAAUAUUACAAAAGUUUUUGUACAAUUGCUCAAAAGCACUUACAUACAUAUAGUUACAUGCUUAUAUUAAAAUCUAAUGUCUACAAAUAUAUUUACACUAUACCCAAUAUAAUCUCAGUUUGUCUUCAAGUCGCAGCUUCAAGUGAUCUCACUCAGCCUCUCUAUCUUUUCUUUCAUCUCUUUUGUUGACUUGAUUUAAUCCAAUUUUCUUUCUUUCUUCGAAGAUCCCUUUCAAACUAUUAGGUCUUAUAAGUUGAAUUCUUGUAUUUAGGGUUAUGGAGUUACUAUUUAUUUGACUAAUUAG
RNAcentral lists this unclassified non-coding RNA (333 nucleotides) under Hevea brasiliensis (rubber tree). Lineage: Eukaryota; Viridiplantae; Streptophyta; Magnoliopsida; Malpighiales; Euphorbiaceae. The record is from RNAcentral.